GGUGGUUCUUGGGCGACACACCCUGGAAUCAGGCUCCUUCCUCUCUGGUUCGGGGUGUGUCACCUGAGAAUGCA
Non-coding RNA from Myotis davidii, 74 nucleotides. The record is from Rfam. Lineage: Eukaryota; Metazoa; Chordata; Mammalia; Chiroptera; Vespertilionidae.